RNAcentral lists this unclassified non-coding RNA (355 nucleotides) under soil metagenome. RNAcentral's name for it is "partial contains 5.8S ribosomal RNA, internal transcribed spacer 2, and large subunit ribosomal RNA". The stretch from base 1 to 120 matches the Rfam family "5.8S ribosomal RNA", at positions 35 to 154 of the family's 154-position model. The record is from RNAcentral.
GAUGAAGAACGCAGCGAAUUGCGAUAUGUAAUGUGAAUUGCAGAAUUCAGUGAAUCAUCGAAUCUUUGAACGCACAUUGCGCCCAUUAGUAUUCUAGUGGGCAUGCCUGUUCGAGCGUCAUUAAGUCCACUUAAGCCCUGCUUAGUGUUGGGAGACUGCUCCAGCGGUGCUACCCUGUAGCUACCCUGCAGCUCCUCAAAGACAGCGGCGGAGUUGUGGUAUCCUCUGAGCUUAGUAACUUGUUCUAGCUUUCGAGUACACCACUUCCCCUGCCGUAAAACCCUUAAUUUUUAAUGGUUGACCUCGGAUCAGGUAGGAAUACCCGCUGAACUUAAGCAUAUCAAUAAGCGGAGGA